GAUGGACGCUAGCUACAGGCUUAACACAUGCAAGUCGAGGGGAAACGACAUCGAAAGCUUGCUUUUGAUGGGCGUCGACCGGCGCACGGGUGAGUAACGCGUAUCCAACCUGCCCACCACUUGGGGUGAACCUUGCGAAAGUAAGACUAAUACCCAAUGAUAUCUCUAGAAGACAUCUGAAGGAGACUAAAGAUUUAUCGGUGAUGGAUGGGGCUGCGUCUGAGUAGCUUGUUGGCGGGGUAACGGCCCACCAAGGCGACGAUCAGUAGGGGUUCUGAGAGGAAGGUCCCCCACAUUGGAACUGAGACACGGUCCAAACUCCUACGGGAGGCAGCAGUGAGGAAUAUUGGUCAAUGGGCGAGAGCCUGAACCAGCCAAGUAGCGUGCAGGAUGACGGCCCUAUGGGUUGUAAACUGCUUUUAUAAGGGAAUAAAGUGAGUCUCGUGAGACUUUUUGCAUGUACCUUAUGAAUAAGGACCGGCUAAUUCCGUGCCAGCCGCCGCCGUAA
Molecule: ribosomal RNA, 508 nt
Filed under: uncultured bacterium
Lineage: Bacteria
Description: partial 16S ribosomal RNA
Rfam family: Bacterial small subunit ribosomal RNA
Source: RNAcentral